Non-coding RNA from Microcebus murinus (gray mouse lemur), 719 nucleotides. The record is from RefSeq and is a predicted model, not a curated record. Lineage: Eukaryota; Metazoa; Chordata; Mammalia; Primates; Cheirogaleidae.
GGCCUGUCCGCGGCCGUGGGGGCGUCUGCGCGGCUCCUGCGCGCAAUCAUCAUGGGCGCCCCGGGCUCGGGCAAGGGCACCGUGUAGUCGCGCAUCACCCAGCACUUCGAGCUGAAGCACCUCUCCAGCGGGGACCUGCUCCGAGACAACAUGCUGCGGGGCACAGAAAUUGGUGUGUUAGCCAAGGCUUUCAUUGACCAAGGGAAACUCAUCCCAGACGAUGUCAUGACUCGGCUGGCCCUUCAUGAGCUGAAAAAUCUCACCCAACAUAGCUGGCUGUUGGAUGGUUUUCCAAGGACACUUCCACAGGUGGAAGCCCUAGAUAAAGUUCAUCAGAUAGACACAGUGAUUAACCUGAAUGUGCCCUUUGAGGUCAUUAAACAACGUCUCACUGCUUGCUGGAUUCAUCCAGCCAGUGGCCGCGUCUACAACAUUGAAUUCAACCCUCCCAAAACCAUGGGCAUUGACGAUGUGACUGGGGAGCCUCUCGUUCAGCCUGAGGAUGACCGACCAGAGACAGUUAUCAAGAGACUGAAGGCUUAUGAAGCCCAAACGAAGCCAGUCCUGGAAUAUUACCAGAAAAAAAGGGGUUUUGGAAACAUUCUCCGGAACAGAAACCAACAAGAUUUGGCCCCACGUAUAUGCUUUCCUGCAAACUAAAGUUCCACAAACAAACCAGAAAGCCUCAGUUACUCCAUGAGGAGAAAUGUGUAUAACUA